RNAcentral lists this unclassified non-coding RNA (230 nucleotides) under plant metagenome. RNAcentral's name for it is "partial contains small subunit ribosomal RNA and internal transcribed spacer 1". The stretch from base 1 to 46 matches the Rfam family "Eukaryotic small subunit ribosomal RNA", at positions 1786 to 1831 of the family's 1831-position model. The record is from RNAcentral.
AAGUCGUAACAAGGUAACCGUAGGUGAACCUGCGGUUGGAUCAUUACAAAAUGAACGUUGGGCUAGAGUGAUCCUCCUCUCGGGGAGUUGAGCAUUCGAACCCGGCGACCAACCACUGUGAAUUAUUCUUGUCUUUUUGGGUGUAGCUUAUGACCGUACGGUUGUAAGAGCCGCCCAAGUAUACAAACCCAUGAAUCUUAGUCUGAACCUUUUUUAUAUAAUUAAAACAA